This 99-nucleotide signal recognition particle RNA is filed under the name Spirochaetales bacterium. RNAcentral describes it as "signal recognition particle sRNA small type". It matches the Rfam family "Bacterial small signal recognition particle RNA". Rfam says of the family: The signal recognition particle (SRP) is a universally conserved ribonucleoprotein involved in the co-translational targeting of proteins to membranes. Archaeal SRP consists of a 7S RNA and homologues of the eukaryotic SRP19 and SRP54 proteins. In most bacteria, the SRP consists of a 4.5S RNA and the Ffh protein (a homologue of the eukaryotic SRP54 protein). Lineage: Bacteria; Pseudomonadati; Spirochaetota; Spirochaetia; Spirochaetales. The record is from RNAcentral.
GGCUGGUCAUUUUUGAUAGUAGGCCUUUGCGAAUUCCGCCAGGACAGAAAUGUAGCAACGGUAGCAAGUAGGUCUGGGUAUCUUGAUUGAUUAGCCGGC